RNAcentral lists this ribosomal RNA (433 nucleotides) under uncultured bacterium. RNAcentral describes it as "partial 16S ribosomal RNA". It matches the Rfam family "Bacterial small subunit ribosomal RNA", at positions 29 to 507 of the family's 1533-position model. The record is from RNAcentral.
AACGAACGCUGGCGGCAGGCCUAACACAUGCAAGUCGAGCGCGCCCUCCGGGGUGAGCGGCGGACGGGUGAGUAACGCGUGGGAACGUGCCCUUUUCUACGGAAUAGCCUCGGGAAACUGAGAGUAAUACCGUAUACGCCCUUUGGGGGAAAGAUUUAUCGGAAAAGGAUCGGCCCGCGUUGGAUUAGGUAGUUGGUGGGGUAAUGGCCUACCAAGCCGACGAUCCAUAGCUGGGUUGAGAGGAUGAUCAGCAACACUGGGACUGAGACACGGCCCAGACUCCUACGGGAGGCAGCAGUGGGGAAUCUUAGACAAUGGGGGCAACCCUGAUCGAGCCAUGCCGCGUGAGUGAUGAAGGCCUUAGGGUUGUAAAGCUCUUUCAGCUGGGAAGAUAAUGACGGUACCAGCAGAAGAAGCCCCGGCUAACUCCGUG